RNAcentral lists this ribosomal RNA (462 nucleotides) under Triticum aestivum (bread wheat). Its description in RNAcentral is "partial small subunit ribosomal RNA". The record is from RNAcentral. Lineage: Eukaryota; Viridiplantae; Streptophyta; Magnoliopsida; Poales; Poaceae.
AACCUACAUGGGAAUGGGCAAUUCUCAGUGGAGUCUAUGUAUAGAGCUUUGAUCCAGUCUGACAUGACAGUUGAUAAUAAUAAGAAGAUCUGGAAGAUGAAGAUACCUCUUAAGAAUAAAAUCUUUGCAUGGUAUCUUCUUCGAGGAGUCAUUCUUACUAAAGAUAACCUUAUUAAGAGGAAUUGGCAUGGAAGUACGCAAUGUGUAUUUUUUCCACAUGAUGAGACAAUAAAACAUUUGUUCUUCCAAUGUAAAUUGGCUCAUUCUACAUGGCCAGUCAUCCAAAUAGCUUCUGGCUUGUAUCCUCCUUGUAGUGUUGCUAAUAUAUUUGGCAACUGGUUACAUGGGAUUGAUCAUAGGUUCAGAAUUCUACUUAGGGUAGGAGCGCUUGCCAUGAUUUGGUCACUUUGGCUAUGUAGAAAUGAUAAGAUUUUUAACGAUAAAAGUACUUCGCAUAUGUAG